AUGACCACAGCGGGUUACCUUAAUAUAUUGAAAUUUAUAACAAAGAUACUAUUUGAGACAUUAUUUCGAAUAAAAGACAAACUGGGUACUGUGGCCCGGCUAUUUGGACGUUGUAAGAGCUUUCCAUUCUACAUGAUCCAACCUUCAAAGGAAGUUGUCGAAAAUGAAAAAUUCUACCAUCACUGCCUGCUGAUCACAUCUAAUACCUGUAACUUGGACCCGGCAAGAGUGAAAACUGAACUAAACAAGUUUUGGAAGCUGACUGAUGACUGGGAUAUAAGGAGAGACGUUAGACAGAAUUUCAUAGCAUCCUUCAACUCAGAGGAUGACCUACUACGCUGUUUAAAGCCUCCGGAUGUAGAAACAUUUCUGGAUGAAAAGGAGGUGAAUUUCAGUGUAGCAAUGUGGGAUGAAGGUGAUAGGGAAAAGCUUGACUUGAUCAAAGAGUGGCUUUUGGUCUAUGGGGUCCCAGGUGCAUAUAUAAACUGGAAGGAGCUAUAUCAAGUGGCAUCUGCAGUUGGAGUUUUGCUUGAGGUGGAUGAGGAAAUUUUGGAAAGUGGAGAUAAGGAGCCUAUUAGGUUGAGGAUAGCGUUAGGAAGUCCUGUUGGUGCUCCUUUCUCUUACCACUUUGUGUUUGGAUGGUCUUCUAGACUAGUCAAGUUCAUGAUUGAAGACAAAGUAGGAAGGAUAGAAGGGCAGUGGAAGGAAGUAGAAGAACGAAAUGUUAGCGUCAUGAAGGAAUAUGCAGAUAUAAGAGAAUAA
This 762-nucleotide ribosomal RNA is filed under the name Triticum aestivum (bread wheat). RNAcentral describes it as "partial small subunit ribosomal RNA". The record is from RNAcentral. Lineage: Eukaryota; Viridiplantae; Streptophyta; Magnoliopsida; Poales; Poaceae.